UAGCUAGUUGGUGAGGUAACGGCCCACCAAGGCGACGAUCGGUAGCCGGACUGAGAGGUUGAACGGCCACAUUGGGACUGAGACACGGCCCAGACUCCUACGGGAGGCAGCAGUGGGGAAUAUUGCACAAUGGGGGAAACCCUGAUGCAGCGACGCCGCGUGGAGGAAGAAGGUCUUCGGACUGUAAACUCCUGUUGUUGAGGAAGAUAAUGACGGUACUCAACAAGGAAGUGACGGCUAACUACGUGCCAGCAGCCGCGGUAAAACGUAGGUCACAAGCGUUGUCCGGAAUUACUGGGUGUAAAGGGAGCGCAGGCGGGAAGACAAGUUGGAAGUGAAAUCCAUGGGCCCAACCCAUGAACUGCUUUCAAAACUGUUUUUCUUGAGUAGUGCAGAGGUAGGCGGAAUUCCCGGUGUAGCGGUGGAAUGCGUAGAUAUCGGGAGGAACACCAGUGGCGAAGGCGGCCUACUGGGCACCAACUGACGCUGAGGCUCGAAAGUGUGGGUAGCAAACAGGAUUAGAUACCCUGGUAGUCCACACUGUAAACGAUGAUUACUAGGUGUUGGAGGAUUGACCCCUUCAGUGCCGCAGUUAACACAAUAAGUAAUCCACCUGGGGAGUACGACCGCAAGGUUGAAACUCAAAGGAAUUGACGGGGGCCCGCACAAGCAGUGGAGUAUGUGGUUUAAUUCGACGCAACGCGAAGAACCUUACCAAGUCUUGACAUCCUGCGACGCACAUAGAAAUAUGUGUUUCCUUCGGGACGCAGAGACAGGUGGUGCAUGGUUGUCGUCAGCUCGUGUCGUGAGAUGUUGGGUUAAGUCCCGCAACGAGCGCAACCCUUAUGGUCAGUUACUACGCAAGAGGACUCUGGCCAGACUGCCGUUGACAAAACGGAGGAAGGUGGGGAUGACGUCAAAUCAUCAUGCCCUUUAUGACCAGGGCUACACACGUACUACAAUGGCGUUAAACAAAGAGAAGCAAGACCGCGAGGUGGAGCAAAACUCAGAAACAACGUCCCAGUUCGGACUGCAGGCUGCAACUCGCCUGCACGAAGUCGGAAUUGCUAGUAAUCGCAGAUCAGCAUGCUGCGGUGAAUACGUUCCCGGGCCUUGUACACACCGCCCGUCACACCAUGAGAGCCGGGGGGACCCGAAGUCGGUAGUCUAACCGCAAGGAGGACGCCGCCGAAGGUAAAACUGGUGAUUGGGGUGAAGUCGUAACAAGGUAA
Molecule: ribosomal RNA, 1232 nt
Filed under: metagenome
Description: bacterial SSU rRNA
Rfam family: Bacterial small subunit ribosomal RNA
Source: RNAcentral